UGGUGGAGUAAAUGAUAGUGAUGAUAAAAAAAUGUAUAAGUGAUAAUAAAACUUGGUUCUCAUUGCUCCUCAUAUUGCUAUCUCUCCUCUUCUUUGAUCUUUGCUUUGGGAGAACAUGGGCUAUCUUUUUUCUACUUUUCUUCUGUCUCUCUUUUUUUUUGGUGGGUAGUAGAUACCCCUAAUUCUACUGUCAGACACUUGUCUAUUUUUUCCGCUCAAGUGGGCAUUUUUGUACCCCUAAUUCUACUUCGGACACUUGUCCAUUUUUACCUCUCGUCUCACUCUUUUUCUUUCUUUUUCGAGGUUCCGGGCACUUGCCACUUUUUAUUUCCUCGCAUAUUUUUGCAUAACCCAUGCCUCUUCUGCAUUGAAUCUUUUUAGAGAGAGAGAAUAACAAUAUUCGGGACAGUGAGUGAUAAUAUUUUUAGAAAUUUUAAUGAUUGGUAAUGAAUGCUAUGGUAGAUGUGUGCAAGUGAAUAUCUUAAUUUAACCACAUGAAAAGCUCCUAAGGGUCU
This 515-nucleotide long non-coding RNA is filed under the name Sorghum bicolor (sorghum). Its description in RNAcentral is "long non-coding RNA (SBIC_LNC006417)". The record is from RNAcentral. Lineage: Eukaryota; Viridiplantae; Streptophyta; Magnoliopsida; Poales; Poaceae.